RNAcentral lists this ribosomal RNA (460 nucleotides) under uncultured bacterium. Its description in RNAcentral is "partial 16S ribosomal RNA". It matches the Rfam family "Bacterial small subunit ribosomal RNA", at positions 338 to 795 of the family's 1533-position model. The record is from RNAcentral.
CCUACGGGAGGCAGCAGUGAGGAAUAUUGGUCAAUGGGCGGAAGCCUGAACCAGCCAAGUCGCGUGAGGGAAUAAGGCCCUACGGGUCGUAAACCUCUUUUGUCGGGGAGCAAGGGCCGGGACGCGUCCCGGCCCGGAGAGUACUCGGAGAAAAAGCAUCGGCUAACUCCGUCCCAGCAGCCGCGGUAAUACGGAGGACGCGAGCGUUACCCGGAUUUUUUGGGUUUAAAGGGUGCGUAGGCGGGCUUUUAAGUCAGCGGUAAAAAUUCGGGGCUCAACCCCGUCCGGCCGUUGAAACUGGGAGCCGUGAGUGGGCGAGAAGAAGGCGGAAUGCGUGGUGUAGCGGUGAAAUGCAUAGAUAUCACGCAGAACCCCGAUUGCGAAGGCAGCCUUCCGGCGCCAUACUGACGCUGAGGCACGAAAGUGCGGGGAUCGAACAGGAUUAGAUACCCUUGUAGUC